Molecule: ribosomal RNA, 245 nt
Filed under: uncultured bacterium
Lineage: Bacteria
Description: partial 16S ribosomal RNA
Rfam family: Bacterial small subunit ribosomal RNA
Source: RNAcentral
CUAGCCGUAAAUUAUGUCCGCUAAGUGUUUGGGCUUAUACCCCAAGUGCUGUUACCUAACGGGUUAAGCGGAUCGCCUGGGUAGUAUACUCGCAAGAGUGAAACUCAAAGGGAUAGGCGGGGGAACACACAAGAGGUGGAUUGUCUCGAGUAAUUGGAUUCUAAGCCAGAAAUCUUACCACCACUUGACAUGCUAUGUGUCGCAGGAGAAACGCCUGCUAGACUUCGGUCGCGUAGCACAGUUGG